RNAcentral lists this long non-coding RNA (990 nucleotides) under Gossypium barbadense (sea-island cotton). RNAcentral describes it as "long non-coding RNA (GBAR_LNC019900)". Lineage: Eukaryota; Viridiplantae; Streptophyta; Magnoliopsida; Malvales; Malvaceae. The record is from RNAcentral.
UAGUGCAAGCUGUUGGAGUUAAUUAUAAAAAUAGGUGAGAGAAAGUUGUUAAUGUGAGUGAAGAGUUGACUAAGCCACUGAAAUGUUGCAUGUUAAAGAGACAAUAGGGAAAAGUUGAGUGUUAGGCAUUUUAUGUGUGUUGGAAACAUAAAUUAAUGCAAGUGAUGUGCGUGCAUGAGCUGUUGUCUGGUUGUCUUCGUCCAAUCUUCACCCUUCUGUAUUUAAGGAAAAAAAAAAAAAAAAAAAAAAAAAAGAAGAAGCGAAAAAGUUCCAUGAAUCAUGGCUUGGCACACGGUGCCACUAAGGUCAAUCGCCACCUUUCAUGUUUUUCCCCUUUUCUGCGCUUCUGUGGCUUCCGGUAACUAACACUUGGACUGCCUUAUCUUGCAUUGUUGUUGGAAAUGUUAGAUUCGAUUAUCAUGUUUCAUUUAACUUAAUUACAGUUAUGCACUCAUUAUUUUCCCAUCUUAGUUUUCCCCUCCAUUACUUCCUUUUGUUUUCAGCUAUCCGAUUCACCUCUAUACUGGAUUAAUGUCUACUAUCAACGGUACUCAUAAAUUAUUUUGUUAAUUGCAUGUAUAACGAAGAGGAAAAAGAAUAAUUAAGAAUAUAAUUUACAGGCAUCUGAGGAUUAAAGAUAGGGAUUGUAGAAAUUAUAUCCAUAGCAACAAAUCAUUCAAGAGGGGGAUGUUGAGUAUUUGAGGAAGUUCUUUUGCGAAUUGCUAAAGAUAGGGAAUUGUUGAAGAAUAUUAUUUGCAUCCAUCCUCAGAGUAAAGUUGCUUAUGAGGACUUCCAUGAUGUAGUUUGUUUUUGUUGUGUAUGACUUCAAUUUCAGUCAAAUUUGAGAAAUAAUCUUUCAGUUAAACUUUGUUUAUUUGUUUCAAUCAAACUCUGAUUAAUCUAGAUUAUUUUAUUAUUAUUUGACCUGUGAAUUUAACUUAUAAAUAGGCUCUUUUACAACCUUAAAAAAAUACUCAUAUUAGAAAUUAG